Molecule: ribosomal RNA, 1529 nt
Filed under: uncultured Planctomycetota bacterium
Lineage: Bacteria; Pseudomonadati; Planctomycetota
Description: bacterial SSU rRNA
Rfam family: Bacterial small subunit ribosomal RNA
Source: RNAcentral
AAAAAAAAAAAAAAAAAAGGNNCNNCNNCCGAGUUUUUUGCCAAUUUAGUUGAAAUCGCCUUACAGUUGACCUGGCUCAUGACGAACGCUGGCGGCGUGCUUAACACAUGCAAGUCAAGGAGAACGAAUCCUUCGGGAUACUAUUAAACUGGCGAACGGGUGAGUAACACGUAGGCAACCUACCUCAGAGAUUGGGAUAACUGCGGGAAACCGGAGCUAAUACCGAAUAAUGCAGCGGAUCCUUCGGGAUAUGUUGUUAAAGUGGGCUUCGGCUCACACUUUGAGAUGGGCCUGCGUCCGAUUAGUUUGUUGGUGGGGUAACGGCCUACCAAGACGGUGAUGGGUAGCCGACUUUAGCGAGUGACCGGCCACACUGGGACUGAGACACUGCCCAGACUCCUACGGGAGGCUGCAGUCGAGAAUCUUCUGCAAUGAACGCAAGUUUGACAGAGCGACGCCGCGUGUAGGAUUGAAGGCCCUCGGGUUGUAAACUACUGUUACAGGUUAAGAAAUGCUAGGGAGUUAAUAGCUUCUUAGUUUGACAAAGGCCUGGGAGAAAGCCACGGCUAACUUCGUGCCAGCAGCCGCGGUAAGACGAAGGUGGCAAGCGUUGUUCGGAAUCACUGGGCAUAAAGCGCGUGUAGGCGGUCUUUUAAGUCAGAUGUGAAAGCCCUCGGCCCAACCGAGGAAUGGCGUCUGAUACUGAGAGACUUGAGGAUCGGAGGGGUGUGUGGAAUUCCUAGUGGAGCGGUGAAAUGCGUUGAUAUUAGGAGGAACACCGGAGGCGAAGGCGACACACUGGUCGAUCACUGACGCUGAGAUGCGAAAGUAUGGGGAGCGAACGGGAUUAGAUACCCCGGUAGUCCAUACCGUAAACGAUGAGCACUAGGUGGGGGGUUUCUUAACAACUCCCUGCUGCCGUUAAUACAUUAAGUGCUCCGCCUGGGGAGUAUGGUCGCAAGGCUGAAACUCAAAGGAAUUGACGGGGGCUCACACAAGCGGUGGAGCAUGUUGAUUAAUUCGAAGCAACGCGCAGAACCUUACCUAGACUUGACAUGGAGGUGGUAGUGAACCGAAAGGGGAACAACUCUCUUUUUGAGAGAGCCUUCACAGGUGUUGCAUGGCUGUCGUCAGCUCGUGUCGUGAGAUGUUAGGUUAAGUCCUAUAACGAGCGAAACCCCUAUCGUUAGUUGCCAGCGUGUAAUGGCGGGGACUCUAGCGAGACCGCCGGUGUUAAACCGGAGGAAGGUGGGGAUGACGUCAAGUCCUCAUGGCCCUUACGUCUAGGGCUUCAAACGUGCCACAAUGGUGAAUACAAAGGGAUGCGAAAUCGCGAGGUCAAGCAAAUCCCAAAAAAUUCAUCUCAGUUCGGAUUGCAGGCUGCAACUCGCCUGCAUGAAGCUGGAAUCGCUAGUAAUCGCGGAUCAGCUACGCCGCGGUGAAAGUUCCUGAGCAUGUACUCACCGCCCGUAAGGCGAAUGUACAGCAGAUACGAAAACCUUUGNGNNNCCCUUUUUUUCUUUUUUUUU